Molecule: ribosomal RNA, 558 nt
Filed under: uncultured bacterium
Lineage: Bacteria
Description: bacterial LSU rRNA
Rfam family: Bacterial large subunit ribosomal RNA
Source: RNAcentral
GGCCAAACCUUGCGCGUGUGAUACCCGUCGGGGGGUUGCGCGCGGGGUGUUGCGGGAUCGCGUGCGCCGGCUCCGACGGGCCGCCGGCAGUUGCAGAAAACCAUGUGUCAGGGGAACCGGGUUGAAUACCGGGCCGCAGAGGGUGAGGGCCCCGUACCUGAACGCGCAUGGUCUGCCGAUCGCGUCUCCCAAGUAGCACGGGUCCCGUGGAACCCCGUGCGAAUCCGCCCAGACCGUUGGGUAAGCCUGAAUAUUCCUGUCUGACCGAUAGCGAAACGAGUACCGUGAGGGAAAGGUGAAAAGUACCCCGGGAGGGGAGUGAAACAGUCUCUGAAACCGUGCGCCUACAAUCCGUCGGAGCCCUUUUGUGGGGUGACGGCGUGCCUAUCGAAAAAUGAGUCUGCGAGUCAGUGGCAUGUGGCGAGCAUAACCCGUGUGGGGUAUGCGUAGCGAAGGCGAGUCUUAAAAGGCGUUUGAGUCGCGUGUCCUGGACCCGAAGCGGGGAUGAUCUAGCCCUGAGCAGGUUGAAGCGCGGGUAAGACCGCGUGGAGGACCGAA